AACGAACGCUGGCGGCAUGCCUAACACGUGCAAGUCGAACGAUCCCUUCGGGGAUAGUGGCGCACGGGUGCGUAACGCGUGGGAACCUGCCCUUAGGUUCGGAAUAACUCAGAGAAAUUUGAGCUAAUACCGGAUAAUGUCUUCGGACCAAAGAUUUAUCGCCUUUGGAUGGGCCCGCGUUGGAUUAGCUAGUUGGUGGGGUAAAGGCCUACCAAGGCGACGAUCCAUAGCUGGUCUGAGAGGAUGAUCAGCCACACUGGGACUGAGACACGGCCCAGACUCCUACGGGAGGCAGCAGUGGGGAAUAUUGGACAAUGGGCGAAAGCCUGAUCCAGCAAUGCCGCGUGAGUGAUGAAGGCCUUAGGGUUGUAAAGCUCUUUUACCCGGGAUGAUAAUGACAGUACCGGGAGAAUAAGCCCCGGCUAACUCCGU
This 432-nucleotide ribosomal RNA is filed under the name uncultured bacterium. Its description in RNAcentral is "partial 16S ribosomal RNA". It matches the Rfam family "Bacterial small subunit ribosomal RNA", at positions 29 to 506 of the family's 1533-position model. The record is from RNAcentral.